RNAcentral lists this ribosomal RNA (302 nucleotides) under uncultured bacterium. RNAcentral describes it as "partial 16S ribosomal RNA". It matches the Rfam family "Bacterial small subunit ribosomal RNA", at positions 508 to 807 of the family's 1533-position model. The record is from RNAcentral.
GCAGCAGCCGCGGUAAUACGGAGGGUGCAAGCGUUACUCGGAAUCACUGGGCGUAAAGGACGCGUAGGCGGAUUAUCAAGUCUCUUGUGAAAUCUAACGGCUUAACCGUUAAACUGCUUGGGAAACUGAUAAUCUAGAGUAAGGGAGAGGCAGAUGGAAUUCUUGGUGUAGGGGUAAAAUCCGUAGAUAUCAAGAAGAAUACCUAUUGCGAAGGCGAUCUGCUGGAACUUAACUGACGCUAAUGCGUGAAAGCGUGGGGAGCAAACAGGAUUAGAUACCCCCGUAGUCCCUGUCUCUUAUAC